GCCGGGCGCGGUGGUUCACGCCUGUAAUCCCAGCACUUUGGGAGGCUGAGGUGGGUGCAUCACUUGAGGUCAGGAGUUUGGGACCAGCCUGGCCAAUAUGGUGAAACCCCACCUCUA
RNAcentral lists this non-coding RNA (117 nucleotides) under Nomascus leucogenys (northern white-cheeked gibbon). The record is from Rfam by way of RNAcentral. Lineage: Eukaryota; Metazoa; Chordata; Mammalia; Primates; Hylobatidae.